This 1424-nucleotide ribosomal RNA is filed under the name Klebsiella pneumoniae. RNAcentral's name for it is "bacterial SSU rRNA". It matches the Rfam family "Bacterial small subunit ribosomal RNA". The record is from RNAcentral. Lineage: Bacteria; Pseudomonadati; Pseudomonadota; Gammaproteobacteria; Enterobacterales; Enterobacteriaceae.
CCUGACGCAGCUACCAUGCAGUCGAGCGGUAGCACAGAGAGCUUGCUCUCGGGUGACGAGCGGCGGACGGGUGAGUAAUGUCUGGGAAACUGCCUGAUGGAGGGGGAUAACUACUGGAAACGGUAGCUAAUACCGCAUAACGUCGCAAGACCAAAGUGGGGGACCUUCGGGCCUCAUGCCAUCAGAUGUGCCCAGAUGGGAUUAGCUAGUAGGUGGGGUAACGGCUCACCUAGGCGACGAUCCCUAGCUGGUCUGAGAGGAUGACCAGCCACACUGGAACUGAGACACGGUCCAGACUCCUACGGGAGGCAGCAGUGGGGAAUAUUGCACAAUGGGCGCAAGCCUGAUGCAGCCAUGCCGCGUGUGUGAAGAAGGCCUUCGGGUUGUAAAGCACUUUCAGCGGGGAGGAAGGCGGUGAGGUUAAUAACCUUGCCGAUUGACGUUACCCGCAGAAGAAGCACCGGCUAACUCCGUGCCAGCAGCCGCGGUAAUACGGAGGGUGCAAGCGUUAAUCGGAAUUACUGGGCGUAAAGCGCACGCAGGCGGUCUGUCAAGUCGGAUGUGAAAUCCCCGGGCUCAACCUGGGAACUGCAUUCGAAACUGGCAGGCUAGAGUCUUGUAGAGGGGGGUAGAAUUCCAGGUGUAGCGGUGAAAUGCGUAGAGAUCUGGAGGAAUACCGGUGGCGAAGGCGGCCCCCUGGACAAAGACUGACGCUCAGGUGCGAAAGCGUGGGGAGCAAACAGGAUUAGAUACCCUGGUAGUCCACGCCGUAAACGAUGUCGAUUUGGAGGUUGUGCCCUUGAGGCGUGGCUUCCGGAGCUAACGCGUUAAAUCGACCGCCUGGGGAGUACGGCCGCAAGGUUAAAACUCAAAUGAAUUGACGGGGGCCCGCACAAGCGGUGGAGCAUGUGGUUUAAUUCGAUGCAACGCGAAGAACCUUACCUGGUCUUGACAUCCACAGAACUUAGCAGAGAUGCUUUGGUGCCUUCGGGAACUGUGAGACAGGUGCUGCAUGGCUGUCGUCAGCUCGUGUUGUGAAAUGUUGGGUUAAGUCCCGCAACGAGCGCAACCCUUAUCCUUUGUUGCCAGCGGUUAGGCCGGGAACUCAAAGGAGACUGCCAGUGAUAAACUGGAGGAAGGUGGGGAUGACGUCAAGUCAUCAUGGCCCUUACGACCAGGGCUACACACGUGCUACAAUGGCAUAUACAAAGAGAAGCGACCUCGCGAGAGCAAGCGGACCUCAUAAAGUAUGUCGUAGUCCGGAUUGGAGUCUGCAACUCGACUCCAUGAAGUCGGAAUCGCUAGUAAUCGUAGAUCAGAAUGCUACGGUGAAUACGUUCCCGGGCCUUGUACACACCGCCCGUCACACCAUGGGAGUGGGUUGCAAAAGAAGUAGGUAGCUUAACCUUCGGGAGGGCGCUUAC